Molecule: ribosomal RNA, 497 nt
Filed under: uncultured bacterium
Lineage: Bacteria
Description: partial 16S ribosomal RNA
Rfam family: Bacterial small subunit ribosomal RNA
Source: RNAcentral
GACGAACGCUGGCGGCGUGCCUAAUACAUGCCAGUUGAGCGCUGAAGGUUGGUACUUGUACCAACUGGAUGAGCAGCGAACGGGUGAGUAACGCGUGGGGAAUCUGCCUUUGAGCGGGGGACAACAUUUGGAAACGAAUGCUAAUACCGCAUAAAAACUUUAAACACAAGUUUUAAGUUUGAAAGAUGCAAUUGCAUCACUCAAAGAUGAUCCCGCGUUGUAUUAGCUAGUUGGUGAGGUAAAGGCUCACCAAGGCGAUGAUACAUAGCCGACCUGAGAGGGUGAUCGGCCACAUUGGGACUGAGACACGGCCCAAACUCCUACGGGAGGCAGCAGGAGGGAAUCUUCGGCAAUGGACGAAAGGCUGACCGAGCAACGCCGCGGGAGUGAAGAAGGUUUUCGGAUCGUAAAACUCUGUUGGUAGAGAAGAACGUUGGUGAGAGUGGAAAGCUCAUCAAGUGACGGUAACUACACAGAAAGGGACGGCUAACUACGUG